UGGGGAGCAAACAGGAUUAGAUACCCUGGUAGUCCACGCCGUAAACGAUGUCGACUUGGAGGUUGUGCCCUUGAGGCGUGGCUUCCGGAGCUAACGCGUUAAGUCGACCGCCUGGGGAGUACGGCCGCAAGGUUAAAACUCAAAUGAAUUGACGGGGGCCCGCACAAGCGGUGGAGCAUGUGGUUUAAUUCGAUGCAACGCGAAGAACCUUACCUGGUCUUGACAUCCACGGAAGUUUUCAGAGAUGAGAAUGUGCCUUCGGGAACCGUGAGACAGGUGCUGCAUGGCUGUCGUCAGCUCGUGUUGUGAAAUGUUGGGUUAAGUCCCGCAACGAGCGCAACCCUUAUCCUUUGUUGCCAGCGGUCCGGCCGGGAACUCAAAGGAGACUGCCAGUGAUAAACUGGAGGAAGGUGGGGAUGACGUCAAGUCAUCAUGGCCCUUACGACCAGGGCUACACACGUGCUACAAUGGCGCAUACAAAGAGAAGCGACCUCGCGAGAGCAAGCGGACCUCAUAAAGUGCGUCGUAGUCCGGAUUGGAGUCUGCAACUCGACUCCAUGAAGUCGGAAUCGCUAGUAAUCGUGGAUCAGAAUGCCACGGUGAAUACGUUCCCGGGCCUUGUACACACCGCCCGUCACACCAUGGGAGUGGGUUGCAAAAGAAGUAGGUAGCUUAACCUUCGGGAGGGCGCUUACCACUUUGUGAUUCAUGACUGGGGUGAAGUCGUAACAAGGUAACCGUAGGGGAACCUGCGGUUGGAUCAC
RNAcentral lists this ribosomal RNA (764 nucleotides) under Escherichia coli. Its description in RNAcentral is "bacterial SSU rRNA". It matches the Rfam family "Bacterial small subunit ribosomal RNA", at positions 762 to 1526 of the family's 1533-position model. RNAcentral also lists the same sequence under 1 other name. The record is from RNAcentral. Lineage: Bacteria; Pseudomonadati; Pseudomonadota; Gammaproteobacteria; Enterobacterales; Enterobacteriaceae.